RNAcentral lists this long non-coding RNA (325 nucleotides) under Phoenix dactylifera (date palm). RNAcentral's name for it is "long non-coding RNA (PDAC_LNC003922)". Lineage: Eukaryota; Viridiplantae; Streptophyta; Magnoliopsida; Arecales; Arecaceae. The record is from RNAcentral.
GGCCCAUUCCUUCCCAUCAGACCCAGCCUGAAAACCACCCUUUUCUUCGCAAUCGGGCCACUGUCGCCAGGCACGCCACUCCUUUUCAGAACCGCUGAGUAUAGGCCUACUAGUUAGAAUUAUUCAAGUUUGCAAAUUGCUUAAGUCAAAUUUGGUCCGCCAAUUGAAGAGCCUACCAGCUGCAUUCGUGCCCCUGAUCGUCGCCCCAGUCCACAAGCACACGAUUUUGGUCGACUACUUCACGACAGGUGAUAGGUUUCUACUUUUUCUGGCUUGAUCAUUUAAUUAUGUUCUAGUUCUCUUGCAUGAUAGCUAUAUUCUUGAA